Molecule: ribosomal RNA, 497 nt
Filed under: uncultured bacterium
Lineage: Bacteria
Description: partial 16S ribosomal RNA
Rfam family: Bacterial small subunit ribosomal RNA
Source: RNAcentral
GAUGAACGCUGGCGGCGUGCCUAAUACAUGCAAGUCGAGCGAACAGACGAGGAGCUUGCUCCUCUGACGUUAGCGGCGGACGGGUGAGUAACACGUGGAUAACCUACCUGUAAGACUGGGAUAACUUCGGGAAACCGGAGCUAAUACCGGAUAAUAUAUUGAACCGCAUGGUUCAAUAGUGAAAGACGGUUUUGCUGUCACUUAUAGAUGGAUCCGCGCCGCAUUAGCUAGUUGGUAAGGUAGCGGCUUACCAAGGCAACGAUGCGUAGCCGACCUGAGAGGGUGAUCGGCCACACUGGAACUGAGACACGGUCCAGACUCCUACGGGAGGCAGCAGUAGGGAAUCUUCCGCAAUGGGCGAAAGCUUGACGGAGCAACGCCGCGUGAGUGAUGAAGGUCUUCGGAUCGUAAAACUCUGUUAUUAGGGAAGAACAAAUGUGUAAGUAACUAUGCACGUCUUGACGGUACCUAAUCAGAAAGCCACGGCUAACUACGUG